CUUGAUGCUGCCGAGCCACAGGGGCUGUUCCUGAGGCCGCGCGCUGCCGUAGGUGGCGAGCAGCGCCUGGGCCUC
RNAcentral lists this antisense RNA (75 nucleotides) under Sorangium cellulosum. Its description in RNAcentral is "ASpks TB sRNA". It matches the Rfam family "ASpks TB sRNA". Lineage: Bacteria; Pseudomonadati; Myxococcota; Polyangiales; Polyangiaceae. The record is from RNAcentral.